AAAAAAAAAAAAAAAAAAAAGUUUUAAUUAUAAAGUUUUGAAAAUUAAAAGAUUAAAUUUAUUCAUGCCAGGAGAAAAGUGGAAAAGUGGACCUUUAAAUUUUGAAAGACAUAAUCAACGAAGAUGAUUGUGGCAUCGUAUUUACUGUAAGUAAAAUUUGUAUUAAUAUUUUGGUAUAAGAACUGACAGAGAAAAAAAGAUCAGGUUUAUUUUAGAAGUGUACUCAGUAAUUCAGAGUAUAUGUAAUAGGCUCUAUAGGGUAGGUUAUACAUAUUUUUUACUCAUUUCUGAAGGUACCCAUCUGUGACAGGAGAUGAUAUGGUAAAUUUAUGAAGAACAUAACCUUGAUAAUUAAACCAAAUUGGUUCAUAUUCUUGCUUCUCUAAAUAUUUGAAGUUGGACAAAUUAUUUUGAAGCUCUAUUAAGUGUGUCAAACAUUUGAAACAUUUAUUAAACUACGAUGAUACAUUGACCUUGUUAUUUUGAGGUUUCAACUGAAAUGAUAUAGGUAAAAUUCUUAUUCUAUAGCGGAUUCUCAGUAAAUAUUAACUAUUUGUAUGAUAAGGUGUUUUGGAUGAGGUAGUCUAUAAACAGAUAUUUGUUGAGAAUAAUUGGCAUUAAUUUUCUUGAGGAUUUUAUUUCCUUUGUCAAAUAUAUAUUAUUUACUAAGCAGAUACCAAAACAUUUGGUGUCCCUAUUUUGAGGGAAAUUGCAAUAUAAUUUUGAAGACUAGAUGCAAAUGAUAAGUGAAGAAGACAGCUAACUAAAUUUUAGUUAAGCUUCAAAAACAUAAAAGUCAAUUAUGAGCUUUUCCCAUAAUCAUAUAUCACAUUUAUUUGCUUUCUUUCAGAUAAACUUAUAUUUUUGGUAAGUUAAAAUUUAUAUGAUAAAACCGAUAGGCAGAUAGAUUAUAAAAAUCAUAUUCAUAAUCAGAUAGCUCAUUCAUUUUUAAGUUUUUUUAUUUAAAUAUUUGUCAAAAUUUUAUUAUUAAAGGGUUCUAAUUUGAUAGAGUCAUUUAGCUUUUUUCCGAUUCUUUAGCGUAGCAUCUUAAUACCUUCUCCUUUAUUCAUGCCAAUGAGUACUAAAAUUCUCAAAAUUUAAAACAAAUUAGUGAAAAAUAAGCCUUCUAAAAUAGGAUGAAUUCAUUAGAAUACCGAAUUCUGAGCCUUAAGCCUCAAUUGUAUUUGAACUUUCUUUUCUUUCCUGCAUUUUCCUUGCCAUUUUCUGCCUAUGAUUGCUUUUAUUAACAUUCUUUUUAGUAAUUAUUACAAUUUGAGAGGCAAAGACUCAAAAACAUGCACUGGAGUCUAGCCAUACGAAUAGUGAGAGAAUGGAAAAUAAAUGUAAAUUAUGAUAUAUGUUUCUCAAGAAUUUCAUAGUCCUUGAUUUUGUAAUCAAUUUGAUAAAGAAUAUAUAUAUAUAUAUAACUUCAUUAAGAGUAUUAAAAGUAUUAAAACAUAUAAUGACUAUGAGUGCUAAAGGCAUGGAGAAAAAAGAAAACACUUGAAUAAAAUAAAUUAAAGAUUUCUAGAGAAGGACAGCUUUCAUUAUGAUUUUAAGGGCAACAGUGGUACAGAUUGGUAGAAAUAAAUAUCCGAAGAGAGUUAGAUGGACUUGAGCACUAAAGAAAUGAAGGCAGGGAUAGCAAAAACACUUUUCUAGAAAGGUCAUAGAAACAGCAAAUGAAUGUAUUCAAUUAUGGGCCAAUAUCCUGAAUUUGGACCCAGUUGCUUAAAUGCAUAAUUUCAGCAGUCCUCAAUUUUGUUUCAUUUGAUUUAUGUUUUCCCCAUCUCCACUAGAAACUUGUCCAAUUUGAUGUCAAUGGAAAUGCGUGAGAUCUUUAUUCAGCUGUCACACCUGAGCAAUGCUUUUGGUCAUGAUGUCAUACUAAGAAGAAACCCCCUGAGAUGAGAAUGUUAGAUGUUAAGAGUGAGUAUGACUGAUACAGAAAGACAUUUGCUGCCCUACGUAGAAUCAGGAGGUAUUUUAAUUUUGAAGCAUGUUGCAGGGUGAAGUUAAAAAGAAAGGUUGAUUAACCUGUUAUAUUUAAAAUGAUGUCUUGAAUUUCAAGUCAGAGGGGACACUGUUUAGCUUCUAGUUUCUCUGUUCUUCAACCUUCUGAAAUGGAGAUACUUCAGUUCAAAUAUGGUAUGUUGGUCACCAUGGUAUAUUUUCUUUUUUCUUCUCUUGGGUUGAUGGCUAACCCCAGUCUUCUUUAUUCCAUAACUGACACACUCAUAUUGUUUGUGGUUUAGAUAUUAUGGAGUAUGUAAAUACUUAACUCUGUAUUUUGGCUAUCUAAUAAGGCAUAGGUCGGUUGUCCAGAGUGCAAGAGUUUAAGUGGAAAUGUACACACAUGCACACCUGUGUGCACAAACACACACGUGAGGAAAAAAUGGCAUUGCAGUUAAAACUUUGUUUUGUCAUGAAAAAUAGAAACAGAUCUGUGAAACAGAAGUGAUCACAAAAUCAGAUGAUGCUACACACAGAAUAUACUUGGAUUACAAUGGAGAACUUGAACGAUCGUUGUGAAAAAGAAGGUUUAGUUUUUUCAUUUUAUAUAAUAUACAAAUAUGAAUUCCAGAUGGAUUUAAGCAUUCAUUAAAAAUAUAAAACCACGGGAUAACUAAAUUUGUAGCGUACUGAAUAUUUCUAUCACUCAGAUAUGUUUUUUAAAACCGGGCUUAACAUUGUACCUUUUCAUGUCUACUCCCCAAGGCAAACAAAAACAAAAACCAACCAACAAAACAGAAAAAAAAAAAAAAAAAAAAGAAACAGAAGUGUCUGAAGGACAGCAGAAAUGGGAAGUUUUUUCCAUGAUUCAAUACACUCAAUGGAAAGUAACCUUCUCCUGGAAGCUACACCUAGAUGGCCCUAGUCAUGUGAAACCAGUGAUGAUAGCAACAGAUGAAGAUUCUGGACAGGGAAACUAAGGCUUGAACAGUUUGGAUAUGUCUGUUAUUAAAAUGUAAGCAUCUUUUGACAUUGGAGUAGCAAGAGGGGGUGAAAUGCACUGGAGUGUCCAGUUUUGUGUCACGUGUCCUUUCUGCCAUUCUCAGGCUAAUGGCACUCUUCAUGACAAGCCUGAUUGUACUGUUAAGCUCCAGAGGAAAAAAUGUGGCUACAGAGUAUAUUAAAAUACAUACAAUUGAAAAGGAAAAUGUUCAUUUUUGCAAGCAGAAGAUUACCAACAGAAUGCUAAAAUUGAAGCUAGAAGAAAGAUUUGAAGUGCCUUUACAAGGUUAUUUCCAAGAUGGGUUCUCAUGAUGUUGUCCAGGCUGUAGUGCAAUGGCUCUUAAGAGGUGCAAUCACAGUGCACUAUAGCCUCAAACUCCUGGACCCAAGCAUUCCUCCUGCUUUGGAUUCCUGAGUAUUGGGGAUUACAGCCAAGUGCUACUACAUCGGCUUUGUCUCUUAAUUCUCUUUGAAAAAGGAUACCUUGUGGGUGUAUAGCACAGCUAGCUAUUAUACAGCUAUGAGGAAUACCAGUACCUGCUGCUGCUAAUAAUUCCUUGAUGGUUUAUCUCAUAAAACUAGUCCCAGAUUUCAAAAAUGUUUUUGAAUUUAGGAAAUGAGUUAAUAUUCCUAAUUCAGGGAGCUAUACGAAAAGCAAAAUCUUAAGAAAACAUGACCAAUGUACAGAAAAAAUAAAAGUGAAUAGAG
Non-coding RNA from Macaca mulatta (Rhesus monkey), 3663 nucleotides. The record is from RefSeq and is a predicted model, not a curated record. NCBI's taxonomy places the organism in Eukaryota, Metazoa, Chordata, Mammalia, Primates, Cercopithecidae.